ACGGAGGGUGCAAGCGUUAAUCGGAAUCACUGGGCGUAAAGCGCUCGUAGGCGGCUUGGUUAGUCAGAUGUGAAAGCCCUCGGCUUAACCGGGGAACUGCAUUUGAUACUGCCAGGCUUGAGUGUCGGAGAGGGUGGCGGAAUUCCAGGUGUAGGGGUGAAAUCCGUAGAUAUCUGGAGGAACACCAGUGGCGAAGGCGGCCACCUGGACGGCAACUGACGCUGAGGAGCGAAAGCGUGGGUAGCAAACAG
Molecule: ribosomal RNA, 251 nt
Filed under: uncultured prokaryote
Description: partial 16S rRNA
Rfam family: Bacterial small subunit ribosomal RNA
Source: RNAcentral